Xiphophorus maculatus (southern platyfish) is the source of this 594-nucleotide long non-coding RNA. RefSeq lists it as uncharacterized. The record is from RefSeq and is a predicted model, not a curated record. The transcript is spliced from 3 exons. NCBI's taxonomy places the organism in Eukaryota, Metazoa, Chordata, Actinopteri, Cyprinodontiformes, Poeciliidae.
CCGACACUUUUGUUUUGUGUGUUUUUUUAUUUAUUGAGUCCUUUCAUAACAGCAGAGCUUUGAUGAGUUUGAGCUGAUGGAAGGAGGAUCAGGAAUAGAGUAGAGGACCUGCUGAUCUACUGGUUCUAGUAGAUUUUAUAAAUGCAUCACUGAGACAAGACAACAGCGCUGGACCAAUCAGGAGAGAGAAGACACAGAGGACUGAAGGGACACAGAAAAUCCUGAGAUGAAGUUUCCUGAUGCAACGGGGGGACACCUGAGGACACAGAAUAAAGAGACAGACAUCAUGUUGGAUGUCCUCAGCCGGUAAACCUCCACCUUCAACACCACCAGUCAGAUGGAGGAAGAUAAGAGAACCCUGUUGACAAAAAAAGUAAGAAAACAUAUUUUUACCCAAGUAACAAUUUUAAAUAUGGAUGAAAUUGAGGUCAAAAUUCUAACUUUUUCUUUUUUCUGUAGAUGUAUAUUCUCAGUUUUUUAAUCCUGUUAUGUUUUCUCUUUAUUUCAUUUCUCCGUCAACUCAUGUCACAUGACUGGAGCUGACCAACAAUUAAAGCAAAAGACCUGCUCCACCUGCUGAUCUACUGGUUGUAA